ACGCUGGCGGCAGGCUUAACACAUGCAAGUCGAACGGUAACAGGAAUUAGCUUGCUAAUUUGCUGACGAGUGGCGGACGGGUGAGUAAUGCUUGGGAAUCUGGCUUAUGGAGGGGGAUAACUACGGGAAACUGUAGCUAAUACCGCGUAAAUCUUCGGAUUAAAGGGUGGGACUUUCGAGCCACCUGCCAUAAGAUGAGCCCAAGUGGGAUUAGGUAGUUGGUUAGGUAAAGGCUGACCAAGCCGACGAUCUCUAGCUGGUCUGAGAGGAUGACCAGCCACACUGGAACUGAGACGCGGUCCAGACUCCUACGGGAGGCAGCAGUGGGGAAUAUCGCACAAUGGUGGGAACCCUGAUGCAGCCAUGCCGCGUGAAUGAAGAAGGCCUUCGGGUUGUAAAGUUCUUUCGGUGACGAGGAAGGUUGAUAGGUUAAUAGCCUAUCAAAUUGACGUUAAUCACAGAAGAAGCACCGGCUAACUCCGUGCCAGCAGCCGCGGUAAUACGGGGGGUGCGAGCGUUAAUCGGAAUAACUGGGCGUAAAGGGCACGCAGGCGGUGACUUAAGUGAGAUGUGAAAGCCCCGAGCUUAACUUGGGAAUUGCAUUUCAUACUGGGUCGCUAGAGUACUUUAGGGAGGGGUAGAAUUCCACGUGUAGCGGUGAAAUGCGUAGAGAUGUGGAGGAAUACCGAAGGCGAAGGCAGCCCCUUGGGAAUGUACUGACGCUCAUGUGCGAAAGCGUGGGGAGCAAACAGGAUUAGAUACCCUGGUAGUCCACGCUGUAAACGAUGUCGAUUUGGGGAUUGGGCUUUGAGCUUGGUGCCCGUAGCUAACGUGAUAAAUCGACCGCCUGGGGAGUACGGCCGCAAGGUUAAAACUCAAAUGAAUUGACGGGGGCCCGCACAAGCGGUGGAGCAUGU
This 917-nucleotide ribosomal RNA is filed under the name uncultured bacterium. RNAcentral describes it as "bacterial SSU rRNA". It matches the Rfam family "Bacterial small subunit ribosomal RNA", at positions 33 to 942 of the family's 1533-position model. The record is from RNAcentral.